GAUGAACGCUGGCGGCGUGCCUAAUACAUGCAAGUCGAGCGAACAGAUGAGGAGCUUGCUCCUCUGACGUUAGCGGCGGACGGGUGAGUAACACGUGGAUAACCUACCUAUAAGACUGGGAUAACUUCGGGAAACCGGAGCUAAUACCGGAUAAUAUAUUGAACCGCAUGGUUCAAUAGUGAAGGACGGUUUUGCUGUCACUUAUAGAUGGAUCCGCGCCGCAUUAGCUAGUUGGUAAGGUAACGGCUUACCAAGGCAACGAUGCGUAGCCGACCUGAGAGGGUGAUCGGCCACACUGGAACUGAGACACGGUCCAGACUCCUACGGGAGGCAGCAGUAGGGAAUCUUCCGCAAUGGGCGAAAGCCUGACGGAGCAACGCCGCGUGAGUGAUGAAGGUCUUCGGAUCGUAAAACUCUGUUAUUAGGGAAGAACAAAUGUGUAAGUAACUAUGCACGUCUUGACGGUACCUAAUCAGAAAGCCACGGCUAACUACGU
This 496-nucleotide ribosomal RNA is filed under the name uncultured bacterium. RNAcentral describes it as "partial 16S ribosomal RNA". It matches the Rfam family "Bacterial small subunit ribosomal RNA", at positions 28 to 506 of the family's 1533-position model. The record is from RNAcentral.